UGAACGCUAGUGGCAGGCCUAAUACAUGCAAGUCGAGGGGCAGCACGGUGUAGCAAUAUACUGGUGGCGACCGGCGCACGGGUGCGUAACACGUAUGUAAUCUACCCAUAACUGGGGGAUAGCCCGGAGAAAUCCGGAUUAAUACCCCAUAGUAAUAUUGAGGAGCAUUCCUUGAUAUUUAAAACUCCGGUGGUUAUGGAUGAACAUGCGACUGAUUAGUUUGUUGGUGAGGUAACGGCUCACCAAGACUACGAUCAGUAGGGGUACUAAGAGGUUAUACCCCCACACUGGUACUGAGACACGGACCAGACUCCUACGGGAGGCAGCAGUAAGGAAUAUUGGACAAUGGGGGCAACCCUGAUCCAGCCAUGCCGCGUGAAGGAAGAAGGCGCUACGCGUUGUAAACUUCUUUUGUAGCAGAGAAAACCCUCCCACGUGUGGGAGGUUGAUAGUAUGCUAAGAAUAAGCAUCGGCUAACUUCG
Molecule: ribosomal RNA, 482 nt
Filed under: uncultured bacterium
Lineage: Bacteria
Description: bacterial SSU rRNA
Rfam family: Bacterial small subunit ribosomal RNA
Source: RNAcentral